AGGAGAGUUUGAUCCUGGCUCAGGACGAACGCUGGCGGCGCGCCUAACACAUGCAAGUCGAACGGGACUAGUGACCGGAGAUUAGAGCUUGUUGUUCUAGUUUGCGAUCACUAGUUCAGUGGCGGACGGGUGAGUAAAGCAUGAGCAACCUGCCUAGUAGAGGGGGAUAGCUUUUGGAAACAGAAGAUAAUACCGCAUGAAUCAGAGAUUUCGCAUGAGAUUUUUGGAAAAGGAGCAAUCCGCUAUUAGAUGGGCUCAUGUCCGAUUAGCUAGUUGGUGAGGUAAAGGCUUACCAAGGCGACGAUCGGUAGCCGUACUGAGAGGUUCAACGGCCACAUUGGGACUGAGACACGGCCCAGACUCCUACGGGAGGCAGCAGUGAGGGAUAUUGCGCAAUGGAGGAAACUCUGACGCAGCGACGCCGCGUGAAGGAAGAAGGUUCUCGGAUUGUAAACUUCUGUCCUCAGGGAAGAAACAAAUGACGGUACCUGGGGAGGAAGCCCCGGCUAACUACGUGCCAGCAGCCGCGGUAAUACGUAGGGGGUAAGCGUUGUCCGGAAUUAUUGGGUGUAAAGGGCGCGUAGGCGGCUUUGCAAGUCAAACGUGAAAUCUGUAAGCUUAACUUACAGUCUGCGUUUGAAACUGCAGGGCUUGAGUGAAGUAGAGGCAAGUGGAAUUUCCAGUGUAGCGGUGAAAUGCGUAAAUAUUGAAAGGAACACCAGUGGCGAAGGCGGCUUGCUGGGCUUUUACUGACGCUGAGGCGCGAAAGCGUGGGUAGCAAACAAGAUUAGAUACCCCUGGUAUUCCCU
RNAcentral lists this ribosomal RNA (809 nucleotides) under uncultured Bacillota bacterium. RNAcentral's name for it is "bacterial SSU rRNA". It matches the Rfam family "Bacterial small subunit ribosomal RNA", at positions 1 to 798 of the family's 1533-position model. The record is from RNAcentral. Lineage: Bacteria; Bacillati; Bacillota.